Molecule: long non-coding RNA, 387 nt
Filed under: Rattus norvegicus (Norway rat)
Lineage: Eukaryota; Metazoa; Chordata; Mammalia; Rodentia; Muridae
Description: long non-coding RNA NONRATT026386
Source: RNAcentral
GCCCUGAGUCCCGCCCCCCCACCUGCCCCUUCCUUGGAACCGGCAAGUAAAAAGAUUCUGACGCCUUUACAAAUGGAAGACACACUGCCACUCUGUGAACUCCAGGGCCUAAGUGGAAUGACCAGUCUCUCAGAAUGCUACCUAAAUCUUCUUUAUCCAAGAAGAGAGUAGCCAGAACUCCCUUCCAGCUCCCAAACAUCAUCUCUUCCCUUUGCCAGCGCUUCCAGCAAGGAUGCUCCUGUGAAGAAGCCAGCAGGACCCUCCAUCUCUAAGCCUGCUGCCAAGUCUACAGCAGGGACCCCUCUAGCCAAGACCAAGGCCGAGCCAGCUGCCCCCCAGACCCCUGUGAAAACCCAAGAGCCCCCUGUUGAUCUCUCCAAAGUGGUG